This 84-nucleotide transfer RNA is filed under the name Streptomyces avermitilis. RNAcentral's name for it is "tRNA-Pro". Lineage: Bacteria; Bacillati; Actinomycetota; Actinomycetes; Kitasatosporales; Streptomycetaceae. The record is from RNAcentral.
GGCGGAGUAGCUCGCGGGAGGGGCCGGGGGGCUGGGGGCGCCCCGGCCGGGGCGGGGCAACCGUUCGAGCACGCCUCACCCCCG